CCAUGAGGGAAAUAUGAAAAGGACUUUGAAAAGAGAAUUAAAAGAGUCUGCAUUUGCUGAACAGAAAGCAAACAGAAUGAAUUCUGCUUGGUUAGAUUAUUGUGCCGUCUGCUUUGUUUAUUUGUGUUGCAUCAGGGUGCAAUGGUUCUUUCCUUGAAUGCCAGCUUUAUUUCUGCAAAUCGUAAUCUUUGUGCAUGAAUGGAAAUACGUCUGCGGGUAUUGGAUUGCAUGUGUUUGUGGUGAUUUGUGAUUUACCUAUAUGUGUGUCUUGUGUUGGUGGCUUGUGAGCUUAAGGGUUGUUUUCAUUCUUGAGCAUGGGAAACCUUGAUUGCAUAUUUGCUGGCAACAUGUUUCUGCUUGACCCGUCUUGAAACACGGACCAAGGAGUCUAACAGAUGUGCAAAUUUGUGGGUGCGCAAACCUGUUUGUGAAAUGAAAGUAUUGGCUGGGAUACUUGCACCAGCAGCCGACCAAUUGGCAGACAGAGGUUUGAGCUUGAGCAUAUCUAUUAGGACCCGAAAGAUGGUGAACUAUGCCUGAACAGAAUGAAUUCAGAGGAAACUCUGAU
RNAcentral lists this ribosomal RNA (568 nucleotides) under Alexandrium margalefii. RNAcentral describes it as "LSU rRNA". It matches the Rfam family "Eukaryotic large subunit ribosomal RNA", at positions 351 to 868 of the family's 3401-position model. The record is from RNAcentral. Lineage: Eukaryota; Dinophyceae; Gonyaulacales; Pyrocystaceae.